GGUGUUUCGAGUCUGCAGUAGUAUGAAUACGCUUGGCAAGAGCAUUCUUCCACAAACUUUUUUGGUAGAAGCAUGGGAAACCACAUUCAAAUCAAAGGAUUGCUUGGGGAGUUGGAAUCAGAAAAAGAGAAUGAAUGAUUCAUACUUGUAAGUUAUUAGAUAUUAAAAUAAUUCUGGGCUGAUGGAGAAACAGCUUCUGCACUGAGCCUCUUCUAUGUUCCUACUCACUGCUCUUUUCACACCAAGGACCCCACAGAUGUCCCAGCCAUUAGAAGAUAAAUGUGUAAAUGUUGGGUAUGGUCGGACCCUAGGGCCCUGUUCCAGCUGUAGCUAAAGACCUUCCUGUUUGGUGGGCACCUCUGCCAAGUGGGUAGUUAGCCAUGUGGACUCUCAUCCCAGUCCUGACAGCUUCUCGCUCCUCC
Molecule: long non-coding RNA, 422 nt
Filed under: Mustela putorius furo (domestic ferret)
Lineage: Eukaryota; Metazoa; Chordata; Mammalia; Carnivora; Mustelidae
Description: lncRNA (ENSMPUG00000025950.1)
Source: RNAcentral